Molecule: ribosomal RNA, 735 nt
Filed under: uncultured soil bacterium
Lineage: Bacteria
Description: bacterial SSU rRNA
Rfam family: Bacterial small subunit ribosomal RNA
Source: RNAcentral
AGAGUUUGAUCAUGGCUCAGAAUGAACGCUGGCGGCGUGCUUAACACAUGCAAGUCGCGUGCGCAGUUCCGUAGCAAUACGGGAUGGGCGCACGGCGCACGGGUGCGUAACACGUGGGCAAUCCGCCCUCUGAUGGGGAAUAACCCCGCGAAAGCGGGGCUAAUACCGCAUAACAUUCCUUGGACUACGGUCCGGGGAUUCAAAGCAGUGAUGCGUCGGAGGAGGAGCCCGCGCCCGAUUAGCUAGUUGGUGAGGUAAUGGCUCACCAAGGCAAUGAUCGGUAGCUGGUCUGAGAGGAUGAUCAGCCACACUGGAACUGAGACACGGUCCAGACUCCUACGGGAGGCAGCAGUGGGGAAUCUUGCACAAUGGGCGAAAGCCUGAUGCAGCGACGCCGCGUGGGGGAUGAAGCUUCUCGGAGUGUAAACCCCUUUCGACUGGGACGAAUGCCCGCAAGGGAGUGACGGUACCAGUAGAAGAAGCCCCGGCUAACUACGUGCCAGCAGCCGCGGUAAGACGUAGGGGGCCAGCGUUGUUCGGAAUUACUGGGUGUAAAGGGUUCGUAGGCGGUGUGGCAAGUCGGGAGUGAAAUCUUUGGGCUUAACCCAGAGGCUGCUUCCGAAACUGCUGUGCUCGAGUGUGGGAGAGGCGCGUGGAAUUGUAGGUGUAGCGGUGAAAUGCGUAGAUAUCUGCAGGAACACCCGUGGCGAAAGCGGCGCGCUGGACCACUACUGA